CUGAAAAGAACUGUUAUUGAUCUUCUGGUUACCAUAGAAACUAGAGGUAGUUCUGAAAAGAACUUUUAUUGAUCUUCUGGUUACCAUUGAAACUACAGUUAGUUCUGAAAAGAACUUCUGUUGUUGACGUUAAUGUAGUUCUAAAGAAACUAGAGGUAGUUCUGAAAAGAACUUUUAUUGAUCUUCUGGUUACCAUUGAAACUACAGUUAGUUCUGAAAAGAACUUCUGUUGUUGACGUUAAUGUAGUUCUAAAGAAACUAGAGGUAGUUCUGAAAAUAACUUUUAUUGAUCUUCUGGUUACCAUAGAAACUAGAGAUAGUUCU
Long non-coding RNA from Papilio machaon (common yellow swallowtail), 324 nucleotides. RefSeq lists it as uncharacterized. The record is from RefSeq and is a predicted model, not a curated record. The transcript has 2 exons. Lineage: Eukaryota; Metazoa; Arthropoda; Insecta; Lepidoptera; Papilionidae.